GUCUAGCAAACACAAACUCCACAAAAAUCACAGUGCUGGAAAAUUAAGCAAGUACUUGUUGACAGGUUAGCUAGUUUGCCGCUAUUAUUUGAAGGGUGUUCAACUCAGUAGCCUCUGUGAGUUUCUUUAGAGAACUGAAAAGACGGCAGGUAUGGCGGAGUGCCAUCCAACAUAUAGACCCAGUUUGUAAGCAAUUCUUUUUCCCAGACAGUGGCAAUAUUUGACACAGUUUUCAGUUCCUUGGUCAUCAUUUAAUAGCUGCUGCAUUGGCAAGCAAUUCGUUUUCCUGGACACUUUCCACAAAUUUUGACUUUGUUAAAGCCUGUUUAGUAUUCCAUUCUAAGUAUGCACUUGGCAUAUUGGUAGGGAAAUGUCAAAUUAGCUUGGAUCAUCCCUGCAACCCGAAGCUUGAUAUUGAAACUUGAAACCUAUCUAUUUCUCAAGAUCUGAAAGUUAAUCAAAGUGAUAAUAAGGAAAGUGCGUCAUCUAAAUUGAAACAGAGGGAGUAAUACUUUCAUGAUGGUAGGCUUGAUGAUUUUGAAGGUCAUAGCUUAUACCGACUUGGAAAAGAGGCGUGGAUCCUGUUGACCUGACCUGUUACUGCUGAGGAUUGAUAUGAAGGGUUGUAAAUGGAGAUCUUCUCAAUCAACAAAGUUUCAGCCAGACUUAUCUUCCACUGCUACAUUUCUAGUGCAGAACUCCAAGAUGAAUUCUUCGGAUUCAUACUACAGGGGAAGAAAAACUUUGGUUUUAUCAUGUUUGUAGCCAUAUGUGGCAUUACGCAACUAAUGUCAUCCGUUCAGUCUGAAUCAGUUGACACCCUAAAGCAAAGAGGGAAUUACUUAGAUUAGCAGUUUUUCAGUUCAGCUGCAUCUAGAUGGGGGAAAACAAUCAAGAAACCUUUCAGGUUAACGGAGAUGACAUCUUCCGUCUACUGAUCGGUUUGACAGCUACUUCUGCUGCGGUAAUAAUCACUUAGUUGAUCAGGGAUCUUUUGGAAUACAUAACAAAGGGUGGCUCAAGCCCGAAUAUCUGGAAGCUUGGAAGUAGGUGGUUAGACCUGUUUUUGUUCGAAUGAGUAUAUCAACGAGGCUGUCAUGCAGAUUGCAGUAGUGAAGCAGGUUUUCCAUCGAUUAGUCAAGCAAAGCUAACCAAAGUGAAGGUAUUCAUUCAAGCAGUAAUGGCAUACCGAUAAAAAAAGAUCGGGGGCAUCAAGAUUUGGGAUUUGAGAAACACAUAAUAUUAUCUUGGAUGUAACUAUGAUUUAAGGUUACACUCUGAAGUUCCCUGUAGUGAUGAAGUUACUUUGGUUCAUCACUAUUCUCUUGAAGAAAUAUAAGAGGGUGAGAGAGAACAGAGUUGUCUCCUGCAUGCCUUUUAACUUGAGAAUUACGUUGAUGCAUCAAUUUUUCCAAUGCAAAUAUUAAUAGAACAAAACUAGGUAUUGGUUCUAUAACCAGGAUACGAGUUGUAUAACUUGUGUUCACAAUCCUACUUUCAUUUUGGCCUUACGGUUUCAGAUAUCUUUUCUAUUCAAUCGGAUUCUCGAUUAUGAUAAAAACUGUUCUUAGU
Molecule: long non-coding RNA, 1572 nt
Organism: Nicotiana attenuata
Lineage: Eukaryota; Viridiplantae; Streptophyta; Magnoliopsida; Solanales; Solanaceae
Exons: 5
Source: RefSeq, a predicted model, not a curated record